UCGCUUUAUCAUAAAUUCACUAUUUACGCUUCCCGGUGUUGUGCCGGUUUUGCCGUAAAACUUCGACAGGCCAUAACUUAUUCGUUAUAACACGGAUUUCGGCGUUCUUUAUAUGUACGGAAACCUUGAGACAUAUUCUACAACUUUAUGUAGAGAUAUCAGGCUUAUCUCACACUUUAAUUUUGACGCUUAUUUUUAUUCUUUAUUAAUUAUACAUUUAUAAUUAAAUAAUAAACACAUAAAUACACAUAAUUCACAUAAUACUCAAAUAUUUCAUCUUUAUUACUUCAAAAAGAGUUACAAUAGUUGACCUAGACUAUUACAUUGACAAAUAUGCUUAGCCCUGAAACCCGGGCGUUACAAUNUUCUUUAUAUGUACGGAAACCUUGAGACAUAUACUACAACUUUAUGUAGAGAUAUCAGGCUUAUCUCACACUUUAAUUUUGACGCUUAUUUUUAUUCUUUAUUAAUUAUACAUUUAUAAUUAAAUUAUAAGCACAUAAAUACACAUAAUUCACAUAAUACUCAAAUAUUUCAUCUUUAUUACUUCAAAAAGAGUUACAAUAGUUGACCUAGACUAUUACAUUGGCAAAUAUGCUUAGUCCCGAAACCCGGGCGUAACAAUUCUCUCCCCCUAAGGAUGAUUCCGUCCCGGAAUCAUGCAUCAGCAAACAGAUGUAGAUAGCAACUCAUCAU
This 696-nucleotide long non-coding RNA is filed under the name Lactuca sativa (garden lettuce). RNAcentral's name for it is "long non-coding RNA (LSAT_LNC002958)". Lineage: Eukaryota; Viridiplantae; Streptophyta; Magnoliopsida; Asterales; Asteraceae. The record is from RNAcentral.